This is a non-coding RNA of Camellia sinensis, 276 nucleotides long. NCBI's taxonomy places the organism in Eukaryota, Viridiplantae, Streptophyta, Magnoliopsida, Ericales, Theaceae. The record is from RefSeq and is a predicted model, not a curated record.
CUCCUUUUGUUGGGAUUAUUAGAGAAGGUCUAAGAGAUUCUUGGAAAUUCAAAAAUUGAGGGAAAACAAGAAAGAGUAUGACUUAAAAACAGCAAUAUCAUUGCUCAAGCAAAUGGCAAGCACAAAGUUUGUCGAAACAGCUGAAGCUCAUUUCCGUCUCAACAUUGACCCAAAAUACAAUGAUCAACAGCUGAGGGCAAUAGUGAAUUUACCCAAGGGAACUGGACAGACGGUUAGAGUGUCUGUUCUCACUCAAGCAAUUUUUCUGCUUAAGUG